This 253-nucleotide ribosomal RNA is filed under the name uncultured bacterium. Its description in RNAcentral is "partial 16S ribosomal RNA". It matches the Rfam family "Bacterial small subunit ribosomal RNA", at positions 524 to 776 of the family's 1533-position model. The record is from RNAcentral.
UACGUAGGGGGCAAGCGUUGUCCGGAUUUAUUGGGCGUAAAGAGCGUGUAGGCGGCCAUGCAGGUCCGUUGUGAAAACUCGAGGCUCAACCUCGAGACGCCGGUGGAAACCGUAUGGCUAGAGUCCGGAAGAGGAGAGUGGAAUUCCUGGUGUAGCGGUGAAAUGCGCAGAUAUCAGGAAGAACACCCGUGGCGAAGGCGGCUCUCUGGGACGUGACUGACGCUGAAACGCGAAAGCGUGGGGAGCAAACAGG